This is a long non-coding RNA of Artibeus jamaicensis (Jamaican fruit-eating bat), 1310 nucleotides long. RefSeq lists it as uncharacterized. The transcript is spliced from 4 exons. The record is from RefSeq and is a predicted model, not a curated record. NCBI's taxonomy places the organism in Eukaryota, Metazoa, Chordata, Mammalia, Chiroptera, Phyllostomidae.
GGAGGUUUUAGUCUGGAGGGCUGUGCAGGUUUCAGUAUUCUUUUCCCGGUGUUAGAAGCAGAUUGAGUUCCACACAGGAAAGUUCAUGACAUUAUGUAGCCCUGGGAAGGUUUAAUACCCUAGGAAGGUUGCAGACCCAGGGCAGGUUAAAAUUUGGUCUAACAUACCCGUUUAAUGGCGAGUUGCAGGUGAAACGUUUGGCACAGGCAGGAAGUACUAUUAGUCCGUGAUUCCUGGCCUCAGGUCUGGGGUGGUCUUUGAGUGUGUCUACAACCGGUUCAUUUUAGGUCUUCCCACUCCAAGAGCUUUUUGUAGGACGUCCUCUCCUUACAAACCCCUGCCUGAAAGAGGAGAAAGCCUGGGGGAGCCCAGGUUAACCCUCUGCACAGUUUCCCGAAGCGUCCCUCCCUGCUUCCUCCGUUCCCCGUCGCCUGUGCUUCACAUUGAACCUGGCUUCACGAAGUGCUAAGUAAACAUUUGACUGUGUCAACCUUUUUAAAGGAAAAGGGACGAGGUGUAGUACAGCAGCCUGGCUUUGCUCAUCUUUCUGAGUGAUGGGAGGAAAACUCAAGGAACUGGAAAAGGCGGAUGCGGCAGAGGUGGCGCUUAGUUGGCCUGGUUUCCAGAAUCAGUCGCUGUGGCUGGAGACUGUCACUUCGCAGAAUUGUCCAGCUCCCAAAUCCCUUGGGCAUCAGUUUGAAGCAUGGCCCAAAGACGGUAAAAUGAAGAGAAUGGUUCCUUUUCUUUCAAAGGAGCCCCAAACAUGUCAUUGUGUCUUGAAUAGUUUCUGAGGUCCACAGCCCACAGUGCAGUGACUUCGAAGACUGUCACACGUCAGCCCCAAGAACCAACUGUUCCAUCCAUAUUAUGAGACGAGAAUCAAGAUCUGUGCAGGAAGAAGGAGCUGGUGCCAGGUGAGAACAAGCCAGUCGCUAUCGCCUCCUCUUAGUAAGUUCAGGUGCACAGUUCCGACAGACCUUUCAUGAAAUGCCCUUCGCUGGCGAUCACACAAGAGUACGCACCACAGGGUUUUGGGUGCUUGGAAAAUGAAACAGAGCAAGCUUCAAGGCCAUGUGCCGGGGGUUUACCAUUUUGUCAGAAGUUUCUUCACUUAAUUUGUUUUAAAACCUUAAGAAUGAUAGUUGUGCCCUGGCUGGUGUGGCUCUGUGGAUUGAGCGCUGGCCUGCUAACCAAGGGGUCAUUGGUUCGAUCCCCAGUCAGGGCACAUGCCUGGGUUGCAGGCCAGGUCCCCAGUAGGGGGCAUGUGAGAGGCAACCACACAUUGAUGUUUCCCUCUCUUUCUCCUUUCC